Molecule: ribosomal RNA, 606 nt
Filed under: uncultured bacterium
Lineage: Bacteria
Description: bacterial SSU rRNA
Rfam family: Bacterial small subunit ribosomal RNA (bases 1-519)
Source: RNAcentral
CCUACGGGAGGCAGCAGUGGGGAAUAUUGGACAAUGGGCGAAAGCCUGAUCCAGCCAUGCCGCGUGAGUGAUGAAGGCCUUAGGGUUGUAAAGCUCUUUCGCCAGGGACGAUAAUGACGGUACCUGGAUAAGAAGCCCCGGCUAACUUCGUGCCAGCAGCCGCGGUAAUACGAAGGGGGCUAGCGUUGUUCGGAAUUACUGGGCGUAAAGCGUAUGCAGGCGGACUUUUAAGUCGGGGGUGAAAUCCCGAGGCUCAACCUCGGAACUGCCUUCGAUACUGGAAGUCUUGAGUCCGGGAGAGGUGAGUGGAACUCCGAGUGUAGAGGUGAAAUUCGUAGAUAUUCGGAAGAACACCAGUGGCGAAGGCGGCUCACUGGCCCGGUACUGACGCUGAGAUACGAAAGCGUGGGGAGCAAACAGGAUUAGAUACCCUGGUAGUCCACGCCGUAAACGAUGGGUGCUAGCCGUCGGAGAGCUUGCUCUUCGGUGGCGCAGCUACGUACUUAACGUACACCCGCCGUCGGGUAGGUACGUAGUCGCGAGAAUUAAACUAACAAGUAAGUAGUACGACGNGAGACGACGCGACGACGACGACGACGGAGGAGG